Molecule: unclassified non-coding RNA, 315 nt
Filed under: Hevea brasiliensis (rubber tree)
Lineage: Eukaryota; Viridiplantae; Streptophyta; Magnoliopsida; Malpighiales; Euphorbiaceae
Source: RNAcentral
CAUUAACUGAGUUAAAGAGUGUAGGUUAAUUGGAAGGAAAUUUCCAGUAACAAAGCAGUUUGAUUGAAAUGUUAACUCUUACCCAUUUCAUUAUUGGAUUCAUUGUUUAAGGAUGAAGAUAUCUAUGCAUUUUUUGAGCCUGAGCUUCCUAGUGAAUCACCUGGUAUGGUAAAAUCCAAGUCACCAGACCCUGUUGGCUUACCUGUACCAAAAGUUCCCAGUGGUAGAACCCGUUCCAAGGGUCACCUUAAGAAACAACGCUCCAUGUCAGCUUUGGAAUGGAACAGUCUGGGAAGUGCUGGUUGGCGGCCAAUU